RNAcentral lists this ribosomal RNA (774 nucleotides) under uncultured Neocallimastigales. RNAcentral describes it as "partial large subunit ribosomal RNA". It matches the Rfam family "Eukaryotic large subunit ribosomal RNA", at positions 24 to 644 of the family's 3401-position model. The record is from RNAcentral. Lineage: Eukaryota; Fungi; Neocallimastigomycota; Neocallimastigomycetes; Neocallimastigales.
UAUCUCUGUAGAGUCUGCAUAUCAAUAAGCGGAGGAAAAGAAACUAACAAGGAUUCCCCUAGUAACGGCGAGUGAAGCGGGAAGAGCUCAAAUUUGAAAUCUUCAAGGUUUGACCUUGACGAAUUGUAGUUUAAAGAAGUGUUUUCUGUUAGAUGAGUAGCAAAAGUUCCUUGGAAUGGGACAUCAUAGAGGGUGAGAAUCCCGUAUUUGGUUAUUCAUUCUAGCUUUGUGAUACACUUUCAAAGAGUCGGAUUGUUUGGGAAUGCAGUCCAAAAUGGGUGGUAAAUUUCAUCUAAAGCUAAAUAUUGGCGAGAGACCGAUAGCGAACAAGUACCGUGAGGGAAAGAUGAAAAGAACUUUGAAAAGAGAGUUAAACAGUACGUGAAAUUGUCAAAAGGGAAGCGUUUGACACCAGUGUUGUUUUUCCGAAAAUCAAUUACGAAUGGCUUGAUUUUGUGUUGUAUUGACCUUAUCAGCUUUCUUCACUUUUUUCGAGUCUUUCUUAAUGCACUUUUCGGUUAACAAGUCAACAUCAAUUUCUUUUGUUGUAAAAGAGUAUUCGGAAGGUGGCUUUCUUUUCGGAGAAAGUGUAUAUAGCCCUAUACUUCUACAAUCGGAGAGAUUGAGGUCUGCAGCGUAGAUCCUUCGGGGUUAGAUACACUUGUGCUAAGUUGUAGCUUUUCAUAGACAACUUGUUGACUAUGUUUAGUCAUGCGGCUUACUCGCUUGUGCUAUUUUACCUACGCUUAGGAUGUUGACUGAUAUGUAGUCGUA